UACAGAGGGUGCGAGCGUUAUUCGGAAUUACUGGGCGUAAAGCGCGCGUAGGCGGCUUUGCAAGUCGGGUGUGAAAUCCCCAGGCUUAACCUGGGAACUGCAUUCGAGACUGCAUUGCUAGAGUAUGGGAGAGGGAAGUGGAAUUUCCGGUGUAGCGGUGAAAUGCGUAGAUAUCGGAAGGAACAUCAGUGGCGAAAGCGACUUCCUGGACCAAAACUGACGCUCAUGUGCGAAAGCGUGGGGAGCAAACAGG
This 253-nucleotide ribosomal RNA is filed under the name uncultured bacterium. Its description in RNAcentral is "partial 16S ribosomal RNA". It matches the Rfam family "Bacterial small subunit ribosomal RNA", at positions 524 to 776 of the family's 1533-position model. The record is from RNAcentral.